Molecule: ribosomal RNA, 460 nt
Filed under: uncultured bacterium
Lineage: Bacteria
Description: partial 16S ribosomal RNA
Rfam family: Bacterial small subunit ribosomal RNA
Source: RNAcentral
CCUACGGGUGGCAGCAGUGAGGAAUAUUGGUCAAUGGACGAGAGUCUGAACCAGCCAAGUAGCGUGAAGGAUGACUGCCCUAUGGGUUGUAAACUUCUUUUAUAUGGGAAUAAAACGUUCCACGUGUGGGAUUUUGUAUGUACCAUAUGAAUAAGGAUCGGCUAACUCCGUGCCAGCAGCCGCGGUAAUACGGAGGAUCCGAGCGUUAUCCGGAUUUAUUGGGUUUAAAGGGAGCGUAGGUGGAUUGUUAAGUCAGUUGUGAAAGUUUGCGGCUCAACCGUAAAAUUGCAGUUGAAACUGGCAGUCUUGAGUACAGUAGAGGUGUGCGGAAUUCGUGGUGUAGCGGUGAAAUGCUUAGAUAUCACGAAGAACUCCGAUUGCGAAGGCAGUUCACUGGACUGCAACUGACACUGAGGCUCGAAAGUGUGGGUAUCAAACAGGAUUAGAUACCCCUGUAGUG